Long non-coding RNA from Cyprinus carpio (common carp), 505 nucleotides. RefSeq lists it as uncharacterized. The transcript is spliced from 3 exons. Lineage: Eukaryota; Metazoa; Chordata; Actinopteri; Cypriniformes; Cyprinidae. The record is from RefSeq and is a predicted model, not a curated record.
UUCAGAAUUGCUAAAUUGGGCUAAAAUAGAAGGCUCCAGCUGAAGAUUCGGCUCUUCCAGACGGGAGUCGGCUCUUCUCGUUCGCUACAAAGAAUCGGCUCGUUCACGAACGACACAUCACUACUAAACUGCACUACUUAAAACAAACCUCACCGAUUCAUCAGCUUUUUCUUGAUUUAAUGAACUGCUUCGUGCACAAGCGGUAGCUCUAAUUACCUCAACAUUAGCGAUUUUCGUCAAAUAUAUCGACUAAUUCCAAAAAGAUGAACAUCCUCCCGAGAACACGCGUUUCUUAUUUACAGCAACUCUAAACAGUGAAGAUCCACGAAACAAAUUCAGAAAAGAGAAACGAAGAAGCUCACCGAGAAGGAAUAGGCUUUUUCUAAGCUUCGUUUGUCCAGCACAGAUUCUACAACUGUCAUUUUACCAAAGCAAAGAACAGCCUGAAGUGUUUGCAGAUCAGAAGAUCAACAUGAAUCAGAGAUCACCCGCGAGAGGCCGUUCA